Molecule: ribosomal RNA, 648 nt
Filed under: Bacillus licheniformis
Lineage: Bacteria; Bacillati; Bacillota; Bacilli; Caryophanales; Bacillaceae
Description: bacterial SSU rRNA
Rfam family: Bacterial small subunit ribosomal RNA
Source: RNAcentral
GCAAGUCGAGCGGACAGAUGGGAGCUUGCUCCCUGAUGUUAGCGGCGGACGGGUGAGUAACACGUGGGUAACCUGCCUGUAAGACUGGGAUAACUCCGGGAAACCGGGGCUAAUACCGGAUGCUUGUUUGAACCGCAUGGUUCAAACAUAAAAGGUGGCUUCGGCUACCACUUACAGAUGGACCCGCGGCGCAUUAGCUAGUUGGUGAGGUAACGGCUCACCAAGGCGACGAUGCGUAGCCGACCUGAGAGGGUGAUCGGCCACACUGGGACUGAGACACGGCCCAGACUCCUACGGGAGGCAGCAGUAGGGAAUCUUCCGCAAUGGACGAAAGUCUGACGGAGCAACGCCGCGUGAGUGAUGAAGGUUUUCGGAUCGUAAAGCUCUGUUGUUAGGGAAGAACAAGUACCGUUCGAAUAGGGCGGUACCUUGACGGUACCUAACCAGAAAGCCACGGCUAACUACGUGCCAGCAGCCGCGGUAAUACGUAGGUGGCAAGCGUUGUCCGGAAUUAUUGGGCGUAAAGGGCUCGCAGGCGGUUUCUUAAGUCUGAUGUGAAAGCCCCCGGCUCAACCGGGGAGGGUCAUUGGAAACUGGGGAACUUGAGUGCAGAAGAGGAGAGUGGAAUUCCACGUGUAGCGGUGAAAU